Molecule: ribosomal RNA, 2902 nt
Filed under: Escherichia coli KTE44
Lineage: Bacteria; Pseudomonadati; Pseudomonadota; Gammaproteobacteria; Enterobacterales; Enterobacteriaceae
Description: bacterial LSU rRNA
Rfam family: Bacterial large subunit ribosomal RNA
Source: RNAcentral
UUAAGCGACUAAGCGUACACGGUGGAUGCCCUGGCAGUCAGAGGCGAUGAAGGACGUGCUAAUCUGCGAUAAGCGUCGGUAAGGUGAUAUGAACCGUUAUAACCGGCGAUUUCCGAAUGGGGAAACCCAGUGUGUUUCGACACACUAUCAUUAACUGAAUCCAUAGGUUAAUGAGGCGAACCGGGGGAACUGAAACAUCUAAGUACCCCGAGGAAAAGAAAUCAACCGAGAUUCCCCCAGUAGCGGCGAGCGAACGGGGAGCAGCCCAGAGCCUGAAUCAGUGUGUGUGUUAGUGGAAGCGUCUGGAAAGGCGCGCGAUACAGGGUGACAGCCCCGUACACAAAAAUGCACAUGCUGUGAGCUCGAUGAGUAGGGCGGGACACGUGGUAUCCUGUCUGAAUAUGGGGGGACCAUCCUCCAAGGCUAAAUACUCCUGACUGACCGAUAGUGAACCAGUACCGUGAGGGAAAGGCGAAAAGAACCCCGGCGAGGGGAGUGAAAAAGAACCUGAAACCGUGUACGUACAAGCAGUGGGAGCACGCUUAGGCGUGUGACUGCGUACCUUUUGUAUAAUGGGUCAGCGACUUAUAUUCUGUAGCAAGGUUAACCGAAUAGGGGAGCCGAAGGGAAACCGAGUCUUAACUGGGCGUUAAGUUGCAGGGUAUAGACCCGAAACCCGGUGAUCUAGCCAUGGGCAGGUUGAAGGUUGGGUAACACUAACUGGAGGACCGAACCGACUAAUGUUGAAAAAUUAGCGGAUGACUUGUGGCUGGGGGUGAAAGGCCAAUCAAACCGGGUUAUAGCUGGUUCUCCCCGAAAGCUAUUUAGGUAGCGCCUCGUGAAUUCAUCUCCGGGGGUAGAGCACUGUUUCGGCAAGGGGGUCAUCCCGACUUACCAACCCGAUGCAAACUGCGAAUACCGGAGAAUGUUAUCACGGGAGACACACGGCGGGUGCUAACGUCCGUCGUGAAGAGGGAAACAACCCAGACCGCCAGCUAAGGUCCCAAAGUCAUGGUUAAGUGGGAAACGAUGUGGGAAGGCCCAGACAGCCAGGAUGUUGGCUUAGAAGCAGCCAUCAUUUAAAGAAAGCGUAAUAGCUCACUGGUCGAGUCGGCCUGCGCGGAAGAUGUAACGGGGCUAAACCAUGCACCGAAGCUGCGGCAGCGACGCUGAUGCGUUGUUGGGUAGGGGAGCGUUCUGUAAGCCUGCGAAGGUGUGCUGUGAGGCAUGCUGGAGGUAUCAGAAGUGCGAAUGCUGACAUAAGUAACGAUAAAGCGGGUGAAAAGCCCGCUCGCCGGAAGACCAAGGGUUCCUGUCCAACGUUAAUCGGGGCAGGGUGAGUCGACCCCUAAGGCGAGGCCGAAAGGCGUAGUCGAUGGGAAACAGGUUAAUAUUCCUGUACUUGGUGUUACUGCGAAGGGGGGACGGAGAAGGCUAUGUUGGCCGGGCGACGGUUGUCCCGGUUUAAGCGUGUAGGCUGGUUUUCCAGGCAAAUCCGGAAAAUCAAGGCUGAGGCGUGAUGACGAGGCACUACGGUGCUGAAGCAACAAAUGCCCUGCUUCCAGGAAAAGCCUCUAAGCAUCAGGUAACAUCAAAUCGUACCCCAAACCGACACAGGUGGUCAGGUAGAGAAUACCAAGGCGCUUGAGAGAACUCGGGUGAAGGAACUAGGCAAAAUGGUGCCGUAACUUCGGGAGAAGGCACGCUGAUAUGUAGGUGAAGUCCCUUGCGGAUGGAGCUGAAAUCAGUCGAAGAUACCAGCUGGCUGCAACUGUUUAUUAAAAACACAGCACUGUGCAAACACGAAAGUGGACGUAUACGGUGUGACGCCUGCCCGGUGCCGGAAGGUUAAUUGAUGGGGUCAGCGCAAGCGAAGCUCUUGAUCGAAGCCCCGGUAAACGGCGGCCGUAACUAUAACGGUCCUAAGGUAGCGAAAUUCCUUGUCGGGUAAGUUCCGACCUGCACGAAUGGCGUAAUGAUGGCCAGGCUGUCUCCACCCGAGACUCAGUGAAAUUGAACUCGCUGUGAAGAUGCAGUGUACCCGCGGCAAGACGGAAAGACCCCGUGAACCUUUACUAUAGCUUGACACUGAACAUUGAGCCUUGAUGUGUAGGAUAGGUGGGAGGCUUUGAAGUGUGGACGCCAGUCUGCAUGGAGCCGACCUUGAAAUACCACCCUUUAAUGUUUGAUGUUCUAACGUUGACCCGUAAUCCGGGUUGCGGACAGUGUCUGGUGGGUAGUUUGACUGGGGCGGUCUCCUCCUAAAGAGUAACGGAGGAGCACGAAGGUUGGCUAAUCCUGGUCGGACAUCAGGAGGUUAGUGCAAUGGCAUAAGCCAGCUUGACUGCGAGCGUGACGGCGCGAGCAGGUGCGAAAGCAGGUCAUAGUGAUCCGGUGGUUCUGAAUGGAAGGGCCAUCGCUCAACGGAUAAAAGGUACUCCGGGGAUAACAGGCUGAUACCGCCCAAGAGUUCAUAUCGACGGCGGUGUUUGGCACCUCGAUGUCGGCUCAUCACAUCCUGGGGCUGAAGUAGGUCCCAAGGGUAUGGCUGUUCGCCAUUUAAAGUGGUACGCGAGCUGGGUUUAGAACGUCGUGAGACAGUUCGGUCCCUAUCUGCCGUGGGCGCUGGAGAACUGAGGGGGGCUGCUCCUAGUACGAGAGGACCGGAGUGGACGCAUCACUGGUGUUCGGGUUGUCAUGCCAAUGGCACUGCCCGGUAGCUAAAUGCGGAAGAGAUAAGUGCUGAAAGCAUCUAAGCACGAAACUUGCCCCGAGAUGAGUUCUCCCUGACUCCUUGAGAGUCCUGAAGGAACGUUGAAGACGACGACGUUGAUAGGCCGGGUGUGUAAGCGCAGCGAUGCGUUGAGCUAACCGGUACUAAUGAACCGUGAGGCUUAACCUU